Molecule: microRNA, 24 nt
Filed under: Eptatretus burgeri (inshore hagfish)
Lineage: Eukaryota; Metazoa; Chordata; Myxini; Myxiniformes; Myxinidae
Description: Ebu-Mir-30-P1e_5p (mature (guide))
Source: RNAcentral
UGUAAACACCCUUGACUGAAAGAC